CUAAUGAGUAACGAGCGACUGUCUUCGGACAGAAGCUCUACCAAAGACGCCAAUUGCGCGGUGCAGAAGGCGCCAGAAAAGCAGGGUAAUUUCCUAUCACUCCUCAGCGGUUAAGGUUCUUCUGGGCCUUUAGCUCAGUUGGUUAGAGCGUUCCUCUGAUAAGGGAAAGGUCUCAGGUUCGAGUCCUGAAAGGCCCACUUCCCUAAAAUGGGGAUGUAGCUUAGCUGGGAGAGCGCCGCCUUUGCAAGGCGGAGGCCAGGGGUUCGAAUCCCCUCAUCUCCACAGAGCAGCAGUAUACUGGAGAAAAGUGUGGUAGAAUUGCUCGCUGCAAGAUAAAGUUUCUAAAAGGCAGAACCGCAAUGGGAAGUUUACGACCCGGCGGCAAGCCGGGUCGAAUUGUCUGAAAAAUAAAAUAGCAGGUUGACCGGGGAUGUAUGUCCCUGAACACCAGAGACAUACAUCGCCGAUCAAGCGAAAACUUGAAAAAGCGAACAGAACCUUAAAAACUGAAUAGCUAGAUUAAUGUAGGCCAAUAAAUAAACAAGUCAAGUCAUUAUUACGUGUAAAAAGAGUAUCAAUUUCUCUGCAUCACGU
Molecule: transfer RNA, 594 nt
Filed under: uncultured Chloroflexota bacterium
Lineage: Bacteria; Bacillati; Chloroflexota
Description: uncultured Chloroflexi bacterium 16S-23S ribosomal RNA intergenic spacer
Rfam family: tRNA (bases 124-197)
Source: RNAcentral